Molecule: ribosomal RNA, 441 nt
Filed under: uncultured Porphyromonadaceae bacterium
Lineage: Bacteria; Pseudomonadati; Bacteroidota; Bacteroidia; Bacteroidales; Porphyromonadaceae
Description: bacterial SSU rRNA
Rfam family: Bacterial small subunit ribosomal RNA
Source: RNAcentral
UGAGGAAUAUUGGUCAAUGGACGAAAGUCUGAACCAGCCAUGCCGCGUGAAGGAAUAAGGCCCUAUGGGUCGUAAACUUCUUUUGUAUGUGAGCAAUAAGGUCCACGAGUGGUCCGAUGAGAGUAGCAUACGAAUAAGCAUCGGCUAACUCCGUGCCAGCAGCCGCGGUAAUACGGAGGAUGCGAGCGUUAUCCGGAUUUAUUGGGUUUAAAGGGUGCGUAGGCCGGCUGUCAAGUCAGCGGUAAAAAUUCGGGGCUCAACCCCGUAAAGCCGUUGAAACUGGCGGUCUUGAGUAGCGGCGAGGCAUGCGGAAUGCGAGGUGUAGCGGUGAAAUGCAUAGAUAUCACGCAGAACUCCGAUUGCGAAGGCAGCAUGCCAGCCGCCGACUGACGCUGAGGCGCGAAAGUGCGGGUAUCGAACAGGAUUAGAUACCCUGGUAGU